GGACAGAGGGACAUAUUGUGGGACACACUGGAAUGCCACAGCCUCCACAAAGAGACCAGACUCUGAGUUCUCACCAUCCUCAUAAAUCUAAUAACAAAAGCAAUGUCCUGACUCUCACAGCCCAUGAUGGAGGACUGAGGGCACAGAGCUGCACCACCUGCUUCCACAUUCCAUCCAAAAUGACCCAGAAAAAUUUUAAAAUAUGUAAAACCCUGAAUCAGGCAUAGAAGCUAAGGAAGGAAACCAUACAAAUGCCAAAAACUUCAAAGAAUUUCUUUGAAAUGUUUUGCAAUUGGGAUCAGAUUAAAGAAGGGCAUGCAGGACUAACCCCACAACCUGCACAGGAGCAGCCUAACACAGAGACAGGAUGCCGGCAGCAGGGCCCACCUGAUGCCCGGGGUUCUUCAGAAGCCGAAGGGGGCCAGGUUGGCAAGCAGUGGCAAGGAUUUCCAGAAGAAACCCAGGCUUGGCAGCAGUGCUUGCAUUUUUGGCUCCUCUAGGCCCAGAGCUGGGCCCAGCAAGACACAUUUAUUGGUGACAGCAGCCAUCCUAGGUGAUGCCGUGGACUCCUGACCAGAGACCAAAGCCUGACAACUUGCAGAACCCAGGCAAAGUUUGAUCCCUUGUGCAGCAGAACUUGGACAGGGGGCCACGCCUGCACUACCAGUACUUAGGAUCUGAGGAAGGGGGACCAGAAGUUCAUGUUGUAGUCUUCCACAGCUACACCUACAGAGCUAUUAAAGAAUGAUCCAAUUUGCACCUCCUGCCUACAAGCCAACGU
Molecule: long non-coding RNA, 781 nt
Organism: Mus caroli (Ryukyu mouse)
Lineage: Eukaryota; Metazoa; Chordata; Mammalia; Rodentia; Muridae
Source: RefSeq, a predicted model, not a curated record